Molecule: ribosomal RNA, 448 nt
Filed under: uncultured bacterium
Lineage: Bacteria
Description: partial 16S ribosomal RNA
Rfam family: Bacterial small subunit ribosomal RNA
Source: RNAcentral
CACCAGACUCCUACGGGAGGCAGCAGUGGGGGACAUUGCACAAUGGGGGGAACCCUGAUGCAGCGACGCCGCGUGGGUGAAGGAGUAUUUCGGUAUGUAAAGCCCUAUCGGCAGGGAAGAAGCAAGGCGGUACCUGACUAAGAAGCCCCGGCUAACUCCGUGCCAGCAGCCGCGGUAAUACGGAGGAUGCGAGCGUUAUCCGGAUUUAUUGGGUUUAAAGGGUGCGCAGGCGGAUUUUUAAGUCAGCGGUCAAAUCGUGGGGCUCAACCCCAUCCAGCCGUUGAAACUGGGGAUCUAGAGUGUGCGAGAGGUAUGCGGAAUGCAUGGUGUAGCGGUGAAAUGCAUAGAUAUCACGCAGAACCCCGAUUGCGAAGGCAGCAUACCGGUGCACAACUGACGCUCAGGCACGAAAGCGUGGGUAUCGAACAGGAUUAGAUACCCGAGUAGA